RNAcentral lists this ribosomal RNA (331 nucleotides) under uncultured bacterium. Its description in RNAcentral is "bacterial SSU rRNA". It matches the Rfam family "Bacterial small subunit ribosomal RNA", at positions 8 to 334 of the family's 1533-position model. The record is from RNAcentral.
AGAGUUUGAUUCUGGCUCAGGAUGAACGCUAGCUACAGGCUUAACACAUGCAAGUCGAGGGGCAGCAGGAUCUAGCAAUAGAUUGCUGGCGACCGGCGCACGGGUGAGUAACACGUAUCCAACCUGCCGAUAACUCGGGGAUAGCCUUUCGAAAGAAAGAUUAAUACCUGAUGGUAUCUUAAGCACGCAUGUAAUUAAGAUUAAAGAUUUAUCGGUGUACGAUGGGGAUGCGUUCCAUUAGGUAGUAGGCGGGGUAACGGCCCACCAAGCCUACGAUGGAUAGGGGUUCUGAGAGGAAGGUCCCCCACAUUGGAACUGAGACACGGUCCAA